This 255-nucleotide ribosomal RNA is filed under the name uncultured marine alveolate. RNAcentral describes it as "partial 18S ribosomal RNA". It matches the Rfam family "Eukaryotic small subunit ribosomal RNA", at positions 620 to 877 of the family's 1831-position model. The record is from RNAcentral.
GCUAAAAAGCUCGUAGUUGGAUUUCUGCUGGGAACAACUGGUCCGCUCUAUGAGCGUGCAUCUAGUUUGGUUCCGGCAUCCGCUCUGCAUACGUGUCUGCGCUUGAUUGCGUGGCGCGGAGGUAGGGCCUUUUACUUUGAGGAAAUUAGAGUGUUCACGGCAGGCAGUCGCCUUGAAUAUAUUAGCAUGGAAUAAUAAUAUAGGAUCUUGGUUCUAUUUUGUUGGUUUCUAGAGCUGAGAUAAUGAUUAAUAGGG